RNAcentral lists this long non-coding RNA (1291 nucleotides) under Gossypium raimondii (Peruvian cotton). RNAcentral's name for it is "long non-coding RNA (GRAI_LNC004598)". Lineage: Eukaryota; Viridiplantae; Streptophyta; Magnoliopsida; Malvales; Malvaceae. The record is from RNAcentral.
CGCCGCCAAAGUUUCAAGUAGAUGAGCUUCUCCAUGGGUUCCAUGAAUUAGGCUAGUCCAAGUGGGUUAAAUGAGCCCCAUUUAAUAAGUUGACCUCUAUGGAACAUUUUGUGCGCAACGAUUACGAGCUUUGAUCCGCAGUCCGUGACAAUUGCAUCAACCAAGACCACAUCUAUAAGGGUAAGACAUAGGUCCCACAUAAUCACGUCUUAGGCAAGGCCAUUGUAUAACAUUCCCUUCGACUUAAGGGCAAUUGUUAUGCCAACACCUCAUGAGCUCGCAGCACAGCACUUUAACCUCACGAGAUACUUCACGAGCUGGGGUUGCCUACGAGAACAAAAUCCUUUUGAGGUCCUCCAUCUUGCAAACCCACGGCAAGGUGAGCACCUACUAUGGGUACCACACCUUUGACAGAGGCAUUAUACUUAUCAUCUGUAUAUCGUGUUUGCUCAUUGUCCUGACCUGACAACCCACACCUAAAAGAAAUUGAUGUUAAUAAGUCAACAAAGCCUUAGGGAAUAUGAUACCAAUAAGAAAAUGGCAUAUGACACCUUGAGAAGGACCAGUGGUUUCCUUUAUAAGAUCUCUAGAGCUAAAAAAUCUCUCUCUCCUCUCUUUCUCAACUACUUGUCUUCCACCCUAGAACUCAUAAUACGCUCUACAAGUCUUUACCCACUCGUUAAAUUGUCAUCAACCAAGGCAAUCCCAAUAUCAACAAAUCUAAAAUUAAGAUAACUAAAGUGACAAAAUUUAUAAUAAAAAAAUCAAAAUAGAAGUCUCCUCAAACUUGAAUGAUUAUAACUUUUCAAUCCUUUAACCUAAAAAUUCCACUUUAAAUAUUUUAAAAAAAUAUAAAAUUAUAAAAAUUUUAUCCAACAAUAAAGUAAGCUGUUUUCGCAGAGUGACCAAACAAAGAGUUCUUUCCGCAAAGUGAGUAAACAAUAGUUUAAAAGAAAAAUAAAACAUAAAAUUACAACUUUUUUGUAGGAUCAAUAGAAUAAGUAACCGAAUCGGAGGCUUUUUAGUUUUUACAUUUUCAUUCUCAAGAGUGACCACCACACCAUUAAUAAUUGCGUUGAAAUGAAUGAAUCAAAAUUUAAAAAACUUGGAAGCCAAUUGCUGACAACUGUUGACCAAACAUACCUUCUUUGAGAAGAGAAGAUCAAAGCAACUCUCUCUCUCCAUUUCUUUGCCUGAAAGGCUGAAACAACAAGAUUCAAACUUAGGAAGUUGUUAGCAGUUGUUGGGUCAUUCUCAUUUCUGAAUAACGAAGAGAUGGUGAAGCUCAAUC